UAUGAGUGUGUGUGUGUGUGUGUGUGUGUGUGUGUGUGUGUGUGUAGGUACACUUGUGCCGUGAAGCAUGUGUAGAAUCAGAAGAUAACUUUAUAGAGUUGGUUCUCUCCUAUCUUUAAUGUGGGUGGGUUCUGGGGACUGAACCCCUAUUAUUAGGCUUACAUAGCAAGAAUUUUUUCUACUGAGCCAUCUUAGCCCUUAUUUUAAAAGAUAUUUCAAUUAUGUAGGGUUUUGUAUGGGUGCACAUGUGAGUACAGGUGACCAUGGAAGCCAGAGCUGUCAGAUCUCCCUGACACUGGAGUUACAGGCUCUUGUGAGCUGCCCAAAGUGGGUGCUAAACACUAAACUUGGCUCCACUGGAAGAGCUGCACACACUCAACCACUGGGCUAUCACUCCAGGCUUUUGCUUCUUAGACAAGGUCUCCUGUAGCCCAGGCUAUCCUCUAAUUCACUGUGUGAAUGAUGACUUUAAAUAUCUAAUCCUCCUGUUUCCACAUCCCCAGUGCUGGGUUAACAGGCGUGUACACCACACUGGGUUUAUAUAGUGCUGAGGAUUGAAUCCAUGGCCUCAUACAUGCUAGGCAAGCAUUCUACAAACUGAGCUACAUAUACCUCCAGCUAUAAUUAAAAAUGACAAUAACACAGCAACAGCAACAAUGGGUGCUGGAGAGAUGGCUCAGUGUUUACCAGGGCAUACUCUUCUUGCAGACAACCUGAGUAGGGUUCCCAGCAUCCACAUCAGUGGCUGGCAAUGGCUGGUAAUUCCAACUCCUGGGGACCUGAUGCCUUCUGGCCUCUAAGGGAAUCUGCACUUGUGUACAUAAUCACACACAGACACACAUGCAUGCAUGUAAUUUAAAACAACCCCCACCAGGGUUGGGGGAGUUAUGAGACUUAUACCAGACUGAACUUGGGAAGCAUAAUCUAUUGGGCUCUAGGCAAGAGAAGACUGCAGGCUGUCUUAGGGUGUGGUGGGAGGUGUUUCCAGCAGAGACAGGAUUAGGCAAGAAACAUCUAUAGACUGGAUGAGGGUUCACACAUCUCAUGGUAUUAACAUUUAUCUACCCACCUAUGUAUCUGUUGAGGGUUGGAGAAGCACCAUGAAAGCAGUUAAGACAGUGAAUGUCAAGCCAUCUCUGAAGGUUUUUUUUUUUUUUUUGCAAAGAUGUAGGUUAUCAAAAAAAUCCAAUGGCCUGGAUGGCUCCUUCCUGUAUAACUAUACUAAAUAUAAACUGGCAGCAUCAGGAAACUGAAGUACACUUUCUUUUCCUGACGCCAAACUACCAUCAUAAAUAUUUGUUAAGGAAUAUUCUUAAAUUAUUCCAGUAUUCUAUAGUUUCACACAUACUAGGGGGAAAAAAAGAGAUACACCACCUUCAAGUUGCUAUGGUGGCCUGCUCAACUGAUUCUGUAAUAUUUUAGUAGAGAACCACGUUCUUAGUUCCUUCCAGAGUGUUCCAGAGGAGCACCUGUAAAUGUGAUUUACUGCAAAUGUUCUCAAUACACUAACUUUAGGCAAUAGGGGGCCCUCUCUUGAGAAACAUUUAUAAACAGCAAGAUCUGGUGGGGAAGAAACAAGGAAAAGAAAGACCACAGCUCAUGAUCCCUGGCUCUAGGAUCUGCGUGUGUGCUCAGUAAGUUCUGAAUGUUCCUAGUGGAACUCUUUGUUAGGCUGGGGAGAUCUGAGAGUGACUGUGGCUUCUCUCACAGGAACAGCUUGGCCCAGAACAGCAGAUAGAGCAACUGUGCACUUGGGCUCAGCAGGAGGCUGCAGCUGGACUUUCUUAUCAGAAAGCUGUGAAAAAGCCCCUUGAAUCUGGAGGCUUGGGACAAGAAAGACAGUGAGCAGGAGCCUUCAGUCUGAAUAUGAAGAGAAUCUGUCAUGGCUUCUGUCUGCUAACAUACAACAGCUGCUGUGGACCUCUGUGCACAACAGGCACACACCAUUCACCUUUCCCUCAUCUUAAGAACCUCAAGUGAAGGACAAGCCCUCCUGCCCUCAGAUGUCAUCUCUGCUCACCUGGAUGCCUAGACUACAUAUUAAAUGGGGCCAUAUUCUUAUUUUAUAUAGAAGAAACGGAGGCCCAGGAAGAUCUGUUCUUGGCCAGUCUCAGGAGAAAGCAGCUUUCUGUCAUCUGCUAGCCUGGAGUGUUUGGAUAAAUUACUCAGUGUUUCAGAGGAUUGUACUUGUCUUUCAAAAUACGGCGUUUAAUAUCUAAUUACAGGACUGUUGUGAUAAAUGGCAUCUAUUAUUAGAACACAGUGAGGAGUUUAGGAAUAAGUUUAAGGCUACAGAUGGAUCCACAGAUGGAGUGGAAGUCCACUGAGUUAGCAAAAUGUGUGUAAAGACCACUGUCUCAUCAGUAAACAGAAAAUGACUUUCACAAGUGCCAACAUCCAGAAUUACAAGGGAAAGAGCCCAGGACGACAGUCUCCCUUUAAUGGUGGAGAGCUCUGAAGUUUCAUCAUUAAUGGAUAUGGGAAAUAGAAUCUUGGUGUUGAGAAGAUGCGUGGAAGCCAUCUUUGGUCUAGAAUAGACCUCUCAGAGAAGGGAUUCCUACAGCUCCUGGUAUUGCUGCUCAUGUGGUCCAAGCAAAGCAAUGUGUAGCCAGUCAUCUCCAUCUCACUGGUACAUGUAUUCCUCCAAGUUGCCUGUCUCUCGAUGUUCUUCUUCUCCCUGUGGCACUCAUGUUCCUAUGGUCCUCCAAGAUGCUCAAUAUACCAUCCCUUCCCCCUCUCUGCACUUGUCCCUUAAUCUCCAUCAAAUCUCCAUGUGCUCAUCUCACAUUCCCAUCCCUCAUGCCUCUAUAUUCUUCAUCCUGCCAUGUCUCAACCCUAUAUGGUGCUUACUCCUCUGCACUAUUCAUUUGCCCAUGUUGGUCAUCCACCUGCCACUCCUCCAUGUUCCUCACUCCUCCUUAUAGUCAACCCAGUAAAUGGUCUCUAUGGCCAUAGCUUCCUUCCCUACUUUCACAUGCCCACUGACAGCUGAUGAAUAGCAAUUAUGUAACCAGACGUUAAACCAGACAGCAAUGCUGCCCCAUGUUCCCAGAGAGGGAUGGCAAACGUACAGAACUGACUGUAGUCAGUGCUACUUUAGUUAGGCAAAAGAACACACUGUUACACGUGUCUGCUCCAGUGCUCUGAAAAGCCAGAUGGGUGUCUCCAAAUACCUAAGAACAGAAAGAAAUAAUGUGACCUGCUUUUCUUGUUGCUGUGACAAAGUACCAGAAGCAGCAACUUAAGGAGCAACUUGAGGGUAAAUACUGCCCGUCAUGCUUGGGGAGACAUGGUAGGACACGGUAGGUAGCUAGUGACAUGGUGUGCUCAGUCAGGAAGUAAAGAAGAGUGAAAGAUGAGGCUCUGCUCACUUUUUCCUUUCAUUCAGAUGGUGACAUCAGCCCUUGGGAUGGUGCCAUCCACAUUUGAGGUGAAUCUUCCCUUAUUAGUUACAGUUAAAUUUUUUUUAAUUAGGUAUUUUCCUCAUUUACAUUUUCAAUGCUAUCCCAAAGGUCCCCCAUACCCACCCCCCCCAAUCCCCUACCCACCCACUCCCCCUUUUUGGCCCUGGCAUUCCCCUGUACUGGGGCAUAUAAAGUUUGCAAGUCCAAUGGGCCUCUCUUUGUAGUGACGGCCGACUAGGCCAUCUUUUGAUACAUAUGCAGCUGAAGACAAGAGCUCCCGGGUACUGGUUAGUUCAUAUUGUUGUUCCACCUAUAGGGUUGCAGUUCCCUUUAGCUCCUUGGGUAAUUUCUCUAGCUCCUCCAUUGGGGGCCGUGUGACCCAUCCAAUAGCUGACUGUGAUCAUCCACUUCUGUGUUUGCUAGGCCCCAGCAUAGUCUCACAAGAGAGAACUAUAUCUGGGUCCUUUCAGCAAAAUCUUGCUAGUGUAUGCAAUGGUAUCAGCAUUUGGAAGCUGAUUAUGGGAUGGAUCCCUGCAUAUGGCAAUCACUAGAUGGUCCAUCCUUUCGUCACAGCUCCAAUACGGUUUCAUGUACUUGAUCUCUCCCUCUCCCUCUCCCUCUCCCUCUCCCUCUCCCUCUCCCUCUCCCUCUCCCUCUCUCUCGUUUGCCUGGUACCUGUGGAAGUCAGAACAUAGCAUGAAAUCUUCUGGAAUUGGAGUCACAGGUGAUUGUGAACCUCCAUGUGAAUGCUGGAAACAGAGCCUGGGUCCUCAACAUGUGCUCUCAACCACUGGAACAUUUCUCUAGCCCCAGUUAAGGCUUUUUGGAAAUACUCUCAGACACACCUAGAAAUGUUUUUCCAUGAUUCCAAAUCUAGACACAUUGAUAAUUAAGAUUAAUGCUUGCAUGGGAUGGAGAGAUGGCUCAGUGGUUAAGAGCACUGGUUGCUCUUCCUGAGGACCUGGGUUUCAUCCUCAGCACUCAUGGUGGCUACAACUCUUUGUAACUCCAGUUCCAGGGGAUCUGAUGCCCUCUUCUGGCCUCUGAGGGCACCAGACAUGCGUAUGAUGCACAGAUAUACUUGUAGGCAAAACACCCAUGCACAUACAAUUAAAAAAAAUCAAAAAAAAUAAAAGAAUUACAACUCAACUUCUUAUCCACUUGACACUCAAAUAUACUACUUCGGGUCAUACCAUUCCAUUAUUGUCCUCUAAAGCCUCGUGUUCAUCUCUGCAAAACUCAGUUAGUCCAUUUCCAAAAGUCCCCAUCACUUUCUAACAGUCUCAAUGACACUUAGAAGCUUAAAGCAUGAACUUUCUCCUGAGAACCCAGUUUCAACUAGAAGUCCCUGUAAGAUAAAAGCCACAGACCUCCAACACAUCACAACAGAGAACAAACAUUCCUGCUCCAAAAGAGAGGAUGAUAGCAAAAAAAAAAAAAAAAAAAAAA
Long non-coding RNA from Mus musculus (house mouse), 4853 nucleotides. RefSeq annotates it as predicted gene, 53773. The record is from RefSeq and is a predicted model, not a curated record. The transcript is spliced from 2 exons. NCBI's taxonomy places the organism in Eukaryota, Metazoa, Chordata, Mammalia, Rodentia, Muridae.